GAUGAAUGUUGGCGGCGUGGAUUAGGCAUGCGAGUCGUGCGAGAACCGUAGCAAUACGGGGACAGCGGCGAAAGGGAGAGGAACACGUGGAUACCUACCCUCAGGUUCAGGAUAGCUAUGGGAAACUAUAGGUAAUACUGAAUGAUAUCUCCGGAUCAAAGGUGUGAUUCCGCCGGAGGAGGGGUCCGCGUCCUAUUAGCUAGUUGGUGUGGUAACGGCUCACCCAGGCAAAGAGGGGUACGGGGUGUGAGAGCAUGAUCCCGCUCAUUGGGACUGAGACACUGCCCAGACACCUACGGGUGGCUGCAGUCGAGAAUCUUCGGCAAUGGGGGAAACCCUGACCGAGCGACGCCGCGUGUGAGAUGAAGGCCUUCGGGUUGUAAAUCACUGUCGUAGGGGAGGAAAUAUUGGUGGGUUCUCCCAUCAGUUUGACCUAUCCUAGGAGGAAGGACGGGCUAAGUUCGUGCCAGCCGCCGCGGUAA
This 482-nucleotide ribosomal RNA is filed under the name uncultured bacterium. Its description in RNAcentral is "partial 16S ribosomal RNA". It matches the Rfam family "Bacterial small subunit ribosomal RNA", at positions 28 to 523 of the family's 1533-position model. The record is from RNAcentral.